RNAcentral lists this ribosomal RNA (1285 nucleotides) under Rhipicephalus microplus (southern cattle tick). Its description in RNAcentral is "bacterial LSU rRNA". It matches the Rfam family "Bacterial large subunit ribosomal RNA", at positions 727 to 2014 of the family's 2925-position model. The record is from RNAcentral. Lineage: Eukaryota; Metazoa; Arthropoda; Arachnida; Ixodida; Ixodidae.
CAUGGAUAGAUCGCCUGGUUGAAGGCACGGUAACACGUGCUGGAGGACCGAACCCACUAAUGUUGAAAAAUUAGGGGAUGAGCUGUGGAUCGGAGUGAAAGGCUAAACAAGCCUGGAGAUAGCUGGUUCUCUCCGAAAACUAUUUAGGUAGUGCCUCGUAUAUUACUGCCGGGGGUAGAGCACUGUUAUGGCUAGGGGGUCACAGCGACUUACCAACCCAUGGCAAACUCCGAAUACCGGCAAGUACAGUACGGGAGACAGAGCACCGGGUGCUAACGUCCGGACUCAAGAGGGAAACAACCCAGACCGCCAGCUAAGGUCCCUAACUAUGGCUAAGUGGGAAACGAAGUGGGAAGGCAUAGACAGUCAGGAGGUUGGCUUAGAAGCAGCCAUCCUUUAAAGAAAGCGUAAUAGCUCACUGAUCGAGUCGUCCUGCGCGGAAGAUGUAACGGGGCUAAGCCAUAGACCGAAGCUGCGGAUGUGUACUAUGUACACAUGGUAGGAGAGCGUUCCGUAAGCCUGUGAAGGUGUUCCGUGAGGAAUGCUGGAGGUAUCGGAAGUGAGAAUGCUGACAUGAGUAGCGAUAAAGGGGGUGAAAAGCCCCCUCGCCGUAAGUCCAAGGUUUCCUGCGCAACGUUCAUCGGCGCAGGGUGAGUCGGCCCCUAAGGCGAGGCAGAGAUGCGUAGCUGAUGGGAAGCGGGUUAAUAUUCCCGCACCGUCGUAGAGUGCGAUGGGGGGACGGAUUGCAGAAUGUUAUCGGGGUGUUGGAUGUCCCCGUUGGCGCAUCAUAGAAGGCACUUAGGCAAAUCCGGGUGCGUAAUUCAAGGGUGUGACUGGAUAGAGCUUCGGCUCUAAACUAACUGGAAGCAGUUCCAAGAAAAGCCUCUAAGCUUCAGCUCUACGAGACCGUACCGCAAACCGACACAGGUGGACGGGAUGAAUAUUCCAAGGCGCUUGAGAGAACUCAGGAGAAGGAACUCGGCAAAUUAAUACCGUAACUUCGGGAGAAGGUAUGCCUCAUUAGUGUGAUGUGCCUGCGCACAAAGCAUGAAGAGGCCGCAGUGAAUCGGUGGCUGCGACUGUUUACUAAAAACACAGCACUCUGCAAACACGAAAGUGGACGUAUAGGGUGUGACGCCUGCCCGGUGCCGGAAGGUUAAGUGAUGGGGUGCAAGCUCUUGAUCGAAGCCCCGGUAAACGGCGGCCGUAACUAUAACGGUCCUAAGGUAGCGAAAUUCCUUGUCGGGUAAGUUCCGACCUGCACGAAUGGCGUAACGAUGGCCAC